GAUGAACGCUGGCGGCGUGCUUAAUACAUGCAAGUCGAACGGAGACUGUAGCAAUACUGUCUUAGUGGCGAACGGGUGAGUAACGCGUUGGUGACCUGCCCCGAAGAGGGGGAUAACAGUCCGAAAGGAUUGCUAAUACCCCAUGUGGUCGUUUGGAUUAGAUGCCUUAUGACUAAACGGAUUUAUUCGCUUCGGGAGGGGCCUGCGUCCCAUCAGCUAGUUGGUGAGGUAAUAGCUUACCAAGGCGAUGACGGGUAGGGGACCUGAGAGGGUGGCCCCCCACAAUGGAACUGAAACACGGUCCAUACACCUACGGGUGGCAGCAGUAGGGAAUAUUGGUAAUCUGGGAAACCGGGAACCAGCAACGCCGCGUGCGCGAUGACGGCCUUCGGGUUGUAAAGCGCUUUUGAGAGGAUGAGGAAGGACGGUACGUCUCAGAAUAAGUCUCGGCUAACUACGUG
This 461-nucleotide ribosomal RNA is filed under the name uncultured bacterium. RNAcentral describes it as "bacterial SSU rRNA". It matches the Rfam family "Bacterial small subunit ribosomal RNA", at positions 28 to 507 of the family's 1533-position model. The record is from RNAcentral.